This 253-nucleotide ribosomal RNA is filed under the name uncultured bacterium. RNAcentral's name for it is "partial 16S ribosomal RNA". It matches the Rfam family "Bacterial small subunit ribosomal RNA", at positions 524 to 776 of the family's 1533-position model. The record is from RNAcentral.
UACAGAGGCCUCGAGCGUUGUCCGGAAUUACUGGGCGUAAAGCGCGUGUAGGCGGCUUUGCAAGUCGGGUGUGAAAUCCCACGGCUCAACCGUGGAAGUGCACUCGAAACUGCAAGGCUAGAGUCCUGGAGAGGAAGGUGGAAUGCUUGGUGUAGAGGUGAAAUUCGUAGAUAUCAAGCGGAACACCGGUGGCGAAGGCGGCCUUCUGGACAGUGACUGACGCUGAGACGCGAAAGCGUGGGGAGCAAACAGG